GAUUAACGCUGGCGGCGUGCAUAACACAUGCAAGUCGAACGAUGAAACUUAGUAGACUUCUUUGUUGAGACAGUAAGCGGAUUAGUGGCGAACGGCUCAGUAACGCCUGAGUUACCUGCCUUACACAAGGGGAUAGCCUUUUGAAACGAAGAAUAAUACCCUAUAAAACUAUAAAAGCACAUGCUAGAAUGGGCAAAGUGCUAGUGGUGUGAGGUGGACUUGCGUCUGAUUAGCUAGUUGGUGAGACAAAAGCUCACCACGGCAACGAUCAGUAGCCGGCUUGAGGGAGUGUACGGCAACAUUGAGAGUGAGACACGGCCCAGACCCACACGGGAGGGAGCAGGGGGGAAUUUUGCACAAGGGGGGAAACCCAGAUGCAGCGGCGCCGUGUAAUUUAGAAGGCCUUCGAGUUGUAAAAAUCUUUGGUAUAGGAAGAAAAUGACAGUACUAAACGAAUAAGCUCCGGCUAACUACGUG
RNAcentral lists this ribosomal RNA (477 nucleotides) under uncultured bacterium. RNAcentral's name for it is "partial 16S ribosomal RNA". It matches the Rfam family "Bacterial small subunit ribosomal RNA", at positions 28 to 507 of the family's 1533-position model. The record is from RNAcentral.